RNAcentral lists this ribosomal RNA (388 nucleotides) under uncultured bacterium. RNAcentral's name for it is "partial 16S ribosomal RNA". It matches the Rfam family "Bacterial small subunit ribosomal RNA", at positions 523 to 918 of the family's 1533-position model. The record is from RNAcentral.
AUACGUAGGUGGCAAGCGUUAUCCGGAAUUAUUGGGCGUAAAGAGUGAGCAGGCGGUUAAUUAAGUCUGAGGUUAAAGCGUGGGGCUCAACCCCAUAAAGCCUCGGAAACUGAUUGACUAGAGUACGGGAGAAGGGAAGGGAAAUCCAUGUGUAGCGGUGAAAUGCGUAGAUAUAUGGAAGAACACCAGUGGCGAAGGCGCUUCACUAGCCAGAAACUGACGCUCAGUCACGAAAGCGUGGGUAGCAAAUAGGAUUAGAUACCCUAGUAGUCCACGCUGUAAACGAUGACAACUAAAUAUUGCCGCGAGGCAGUGUUGAAGCUAACGCAUUAAGUUGUCCGCCUGGGGAGUACGGUCGCAAGACUGAUACUUAAAGGAAUUGGCGGGG